CUGGAGCACCAGAAGGUGGAAAGGCAGCAGCUUUUGGAAGACUUGAGGGAGAAGCAGCAAGAGGUCUUGCAUUUCAGGGAGGAACGCCUUUCCCUCCAGGAAAACGACUCCAGACUGCAGCACAAGCUGGUUCUCCUGCAGCAACAGUGUGAAGAGAAACAGCAGCUCUUUGAGUCCCUCCAGUCAGAGUUACAAAUCUAUGAGGCACUUUAUGGCAAUUCCAAGAAGGGGCUGAAAGCUUACAGCCUGGAUGUCUGUCACCAAAUCCCUUUGAGCAGUGACUUGAGCCACCUGGUGGCAGAGGUACGAGGUCUGAGAGGGCAGCUGGAGAACAGCAUUCAGGGGAACAAUUGUCUGUGACUGCAGCUGCAACAGCAGCUGGAUAGCCUGCUGGCAAAGCCAGCCUCAGCCCCUCCUCUGUUAACCAGAACUUCCCAGCCAGCGCUGACCCUGGAAACAAGCAGCUGCUCCUCCAAGAUUCAGCUGUGUCCCCUCCAGUCCGGGAUGUUGGUAUGAAUUCCCCAGCUCUGGUCCUCCCCAGCUCUGCUUCCUCUACUCCUGGCUCAGAAA
RNAcentral lists this long non-coding RNA (570 nucleotides) under Homo sapiens (human). RNAcentral describes it as "HSALNT0014297". The record is from RNAcentral. Lineage: Eukaryota; Metazoa; Chordata; Mammalia; Primates; Hominidae.